RNAcentral lists this unclassified non-coding RNA (253 nucleotides) under uncultured bacterium. Its description in RNAcentral is "contains 16S-23S intergenic spacer region". It matches the Rfam family "Bacterial small subunit ribosomal RNA", at positions 524 to 776 of the family's 1533-position model. The record is from RNAcentral.
UACGGAGGGGGCGAGCGUUGUUCGGAAUUACUGGGCGUAAAGGGCGCGUAGGCGGCAUCGUAAGUCUGAUGUGAAAUCCCUCGGCUUAACCGAGGAACUGCAUCAGAAACUGCGGCGCUUGAAUCCGGGAGGGGGGAGUGGAAUUCCCAGUGUAGCGGUGAAAUGCGUAGAUAUUGGGAGGAACACCGGUGGCGAAGGCGACUCCCUGGACCGGUAUUGACGCUGAGGCGCGAAAGCUAGGGGAGCAAACGGG